Ictidomys tridecemlineatus (thirteen-lined ground squirrel) is the source of this 446-nucleotide non-coding RNA. NCBI's taxonomy places the organism in Eukaryota, Metazoa, Chordata, Mammalia, Rodentia, Sciuridae. The record is from RefSeq and is a predicted model, not a curated record.
GCUCACCAUUUCAGAGGUUCAAUCCAUGAUGGGCCAACUCCAUUGCUCUGGGACCAAGGUGAAGAGGGAUAUGGAGGAAGAGGUGGAGAGUUCUGCUCAUUUCAGGGAUCCAGAAAGCAGAUAAAGACUUGGAUGGCUUCAACAAUCAACUAUGGAAGCAAGUCACACUAUCCUGUCUUAAGAGUAUGGGAGCUUCUACUUCAUGUCUGUUGAAAAUGUGCUCUGUGGGAACCCUGUUAUGCGAGAAGUCUGACUUCCCUGAGAUUGUCACCAUGAGAAGGCCAUGGGUAUAACAAAAGAACUUCUCUGAAUAGCCAUUGCCAUAAUCUCCAAGUCAGAGAACUCACAAGUUUCAAAAUUGUGAAGAGCUACAUUAGUGUUACAUAAAAUGCUAACGUUGUCAAAAAUCAAAAUGGAGUUGUUUGGAUCCAUCCUAAUUAAAAAAA